Vicia villosa (hairy vetch) is the source of this 2781-nucleotide RNA transcript. It is a transcript of the gene named serine/threonine-protein kinase 1-like, with no coding region annotated. Lineage: Eukaryota; Viridiplantae; Streptophyta; Magnoliopsida; Fabales; Fabaceae. The record is from RefSeq and is a predicted model, not a curated record. The transcript has 5 exons.
GAAAAACCUAAUCGUGUUUCAUUCUGAAACUUUAUUCCUCUCUUCUCACUGUCGUGCUGAAUCUCUUUCUAUCCACCAUCGCGAUUCCUCUCUGUCGAAUGCUCCUGCAUCUUCGUGUAUCAUCACCGUUAAGCUAAGCGCUUCUACAACGUCGUGAAUCCUCAUUGUCGCCGAUGUCACAUCCAUUUCGAGCAUCUCAAUUCUAGGUUUAGAGUUGCGGAAUCGCUAGAGCAUCGGUCACGUUUGGAGUUGAGAAAGCCAUCACCCAUACCACCACGACUAGUCUUCUUUGCAACAAUCUGAACACUCGAGGUAAAACUUGUAGGUGUUCCGGAAAUGAACUAUACAUCUGAUGAUCAGCCGAACCCCCAUGGUGAAAUUUGUAUCAGGGGUCCCAUUAUUUUUCAAGGAUAUUACAAAGAUGAAGUUCAAACGAGAGAAGUCAUUGAUGAAGAGGGAUGGCUGCAUACCGGAGAUAUUGGAACAUGGAUAGCUGGUGAAACAUCAGUGUAUCACCAUCUUAUUAAUAGUCUAUAUUAUUUAGCAAGUUUCAUUCUUUAUAAAAAUUUUAAGUUGUUAAUGAGAUUGCUUAAUUUUAGAAAGUUUAUUUCCAAACUCAAAUAAAUUAGUAAAUUAAUUUAACAGUGUAAUAAGGCCUUGGAAGCACAAUAAGAUUCGAGGUGAAGUUCUUCUCGGGUUUGUGGUGUAGGAUCUUUGCUUUAGAGGGAAAUUUGACAUAGCAGUAGCCAAGGCAGUUGCAGAGACGAGAAUAUUAGGUACUAUUAUGGAAUUCAUGAUAAUUUAAUACUUUAUUGCGAUGUUAACAGUCGGUAAUUUGUUUGUUUGCUGAUUUGGUGUUUGCUUCUUAUUUGUUUUCCGGCUGAGUAUUGUCUUGUGUUGGUUCAUGUUGGUGGAAUGUUUAUUGCUGCCAAGGUAACAGAUCUUAGAUUUGGUAUUUAAUGUCUGAGAGCAUCAUUAAAAAGUUAGACUUCCUAGUAUUGGGUGCAGUUUUUAAUCUCUUUCGGUUAGUGUUUAUUAAUUAAUGAUUGGAUGAUAAUGUAAGAAACUAUACACCGAUUGUAGAUCUAGAUUAAAUCCUAUAGUAUUUUGUUUUUUCAGAUUAAAAGUACAUCUUAGUGUUCCCCGCAAUUUGAAGAUCUAAGUGUUCCUCACAAGCUAAUUAUACUCACACUUUCGUUGGAUGGGAGACUCGUGAGUAAAUAUAAUUUUGGAAAGGAUCUUCUCUGUUUUCAUCAGGCUUUGCAUGUAAACUCUUUUCUGAUUAGGAUGGUUGAUCACUGUAUUAGGGGUGUAGGUGGUUCAAUGUUGCAUUUUUCUCCCUCAGAUUGGAGAUACACAGGAUGCUAUGGACUCACGUCUUCCCAUGCAUGUCAUGGCAUUUUUUUGGGCAGCCACUGCUCAUUUCCAUGAAAGAUUAUGCACAUACAUUCCCCUGUUACUGCCAUGAUUUUAUCUUAGUUACAAUCAUGAUUAAUUUUUUUGUACGUUUUUUUUUAUCAUUAUCUCUUUAUCCUUAGUCUUACUUCAUUUUGGAUGUGUCUCCACCCGGCUUUCUUUGGAAAACCUGUAUGACGGCUUAAGGCCCAUUAUGUGGGCAUAAGGCUUAAAUAAUAUUUUAAUUUAACUAAUAAAGUAAAUGAAUUUAAUAAUAGGGGAGAAAGGUUGUAGGACCAUUAAAAAUAAUAUUAAAUGUGUGUCUUUAUGCUUAGUAGAUAAGACUAAGUUAGAAUUAGCUAGUAUCACCGCCACCGUUUCUUUUAAACCGCCAUUUAGUUACUUAAUUUAGAAGAAUUAGUUUUUUGAGGCCUAUAUAAAUUGACAUCUAACCAUAAUGUAGUGGCAUCAAAAAUUUGAAUAAUAUUAGUGAGUUAUUCAUUCUCUCUAGUGUGCAAAGAGUUUUUACUAUAUGUCCUAUUAGAUAUCGAAUGGUUCCUUAUGUAUUCAAUAUUCACUAAUUCUAGUUUUUCUUUAUAUGAAUUUCGAAUGGUUUCGUUUUUCCGUUGGAUUUGUUGCAGGGAAGGGUUCAUAUGGUGCUGUUUACAAAGCCAGGGAUUAUAGGACCUCUGAGAUGGUUGUUGUCAAAGUCAUAUCAUUAUCUGAAGGGGAGGAGGAAUAUGAGGAAAUUCGUGGUGAAAUGUUGUCUGAUAUCUUGGAAGCUAUCAAGGAGAGGAGUAUCUUUGGGUAAGAACUAAUAUGAGUUUUUCUGAAAUGAACUCAUUGUUUUUAUGUCUCUGCUUUUCUGAAACUCUAGAUUUAAUGGUUUCUGUUUUUGAUUUGUGAUUAGAUUGUGUUAAUUUUUUAAACCCAUUAGUUAGUCUUUAUUCAGUUAAUUAUAAAGGAAUACUAAUCAUUUUCUUUUUAUCUCUUUCAAGCUUUAUUAAUUGGUGUAGGGUUGUUUUGACAAUAAUUGUUUGAACCAGCUCCAUAGAGUUAAAAUGAUUGCCUCUGUGAGUGAAGAUGAAGUACGUGCCUUGUGUUACCACUGCAUAUUGCAAGCAAAAUUAAGUUUCUUCAAUGGCUGCCAGCAAGCAUAUACCAGAUGAUAUUGUCUUCAUCAUUCUAUCAAAACUGCCUGUUAAAUCUUUGAAACGAUUUGGAUGCGUUCGUAAAUCAUGGUCUCUCUUGAUUAAAAUACUAGUUUCAUGAACAUGUUCCGCGAUAAUUUUUUAUGUAACUUGCAUUGUUGUUCUUAUUAUGACCAAGCAUCUCUCUUAAUGCUGGUUCAUGGUUGAAGGAUGUCUAACUUGAUUUUUUGAUUCA